ACACGUAGGGGGCGAGCGUUGUCCGGAAUCACUGGGCGUAAAGGGCGUGUAGGCGGCUGAUUAAGUCAGUUGUAAAAGGCUGCGGCUUAACCGCAGAAGUGCAAUUGAAACUGGUCAGCUUGAGGGCAAGAGAGGAAAGCGGAAUUCCUAGUGUAGCGGUGAAAUGCGUAGAUAUUAGGAGGAACACCAGUGGCGAAGGCGGCUUUCUGGCUUGACCCUGACGCUGAGGCGCGAAAGCGUGGGGAGCAAACAGGAUUAGAUACCCUGGUAGUCCACGCCGUAAACGAUGGGUACUAGGUGUAGGAGGUAUCGACCCCUUCUGUGCCGCAGCAAACGCAUUAAGUACCCCGCCUGGGGAGUACGGCCGCAAGGCUGAA
This 377-nucleotide ribosomal RNA is filed under the name uncultured bacterium. Its description in RNAcentral is "bacterial SSU rRNA". It matches the Rfam family "Bacterial small subunit ribosomal RNA", at positions 523 to 898 of the family's 1533-position model. The record is from RNAcentral.